AUCUAUGCCCAUGCCACUCUGAACAAGCCCAAUACCGUCCGAUCUCAUAAGCUAAGCGGGGUCGGACCUAGUUAGUACUUGGGUGGUAGACCAUCUAGGAAGACCAGGUGCUAUAAGUG
This is a ribosomal RNA of Pteropus vampyrus (large flying fox), 119 nucleotides long. NCBI's taxonomy places the organism in Eukaryota, Metazoa, Chordata, Mammalia, Chiroptera, Pteropodidae. The record is from Ensembl.